UUUAUGAUAUAAGANGUGUGCAUUUACAUAUGUGUGCAUAUAUGUGUAUGUUAAUAUAUACUUGUGUGUGUGUAUGUGUGGGUGUACGGGUGCGAAGAAUUAUUAAAAUUUAAAAAGUUUGGCGGUCUCACAUAUCCAGUUAGGGGAGUUUGUUAAUUAGGUUGAUAAUCCACGAUUUAGACUUACUUUUUUAUGAAUAUAUAUAUAUAUAUAUAUAUAUAUAUAUACAGUUUGUGUAUUGCCGUCGGAAGUUUUUUUUUUAAGAUUAAAAACUGGUAAAUGUUAUCGAUUUAUAUGUCAAGUCAUAAUGCAGUUGAUAAAAAAGGUUUAAUGGGCUACUGUAAAAAAUCUUUUUCCGGAUAAUAGGAUUAAUUAUGUUAGAAAGGUGGACUUAAUAGUAAANNAUAANNAG
RNAcentral lists this ribosomal RNA (412 nucleotides) under Tremoctopus violaceus. RNAcentral's name for it is "partial 12S ribosomal RNA". Lineage: Eukaryota; Metazoa; Mollusca; Cephalopoda; Octopoda; Tremoctopodidae. The record is from RNAcentral.